Molecule: ribosomal RNA, 290 nt
Filed under: uncultured prokaryote
Description: partial 16S ribosomal RNA
Rfam family: Bacterial small subunit ribosomal RNA
Source: RNAcentral
GUGUCAGCAGCCGCGGUAAUACGUAGGGUGCGAGCGUUGUCCGGAAUUACUGGGCGUAAAGAGCUUGUAGGCGGUUUGUCGCGUCGUCCGUGAAAACUUGGGGCUCAACCCCAAGCUUGCGGGCGAUACGGGCAGACUUGAGUACUGCAGGGGAGACUGGAAUUCCUGGUGAAGCGGUGAAAUGCGCAGAUAUCAGGAGGAACACCGGUGGCGAAGGCGGGUCUCUGGGCAGUAACUGACGCUGAGAAGCGAAAGCGUGGGUAGCGAACAGGAUUAGAAACCCCGGUAGU